CCGGUCUCAUGGCUGCUGCCAUGGGUUUUCUUGUUUUGUGUGGAAUAUUUAAACAUUUAAACUUCUAGAAGUAGUAAUGAUGUCAUUGUGUACCUCUAUCAACUUGUGAAAAAAGGAAAUAUUUCAAAUAGUUUCUUUGUAGGCAGGUGCUGACGUCACAAGAACGAGAAAAACUUUAAAGAUCUUCCAUUAUUGCAGAUAGUGAACACUGAACAGACAGGCAGGUAAGCAAUAGCGCACGGUCGUCCACGCUCCGACAAGUUGGGGGUCUGCACUUCUUCUGCGAUCGGUUUCGGUUACGUAGACCGACGGACGGACGCCGGGGAAGAUGACCAGCGGUGGUGGCGCCGGUAGAGCAAAACAGCACAACAUGGGCACCGUCAUGGCGCGACACAGCCUGCCGAAGAUACCGACGAUGAUGGGGCAGACGACGCGCGUCGCGCAGAGCAAGACCGAUCUGC
Molecule: long non-coding RNA, 461 nt
Organism: Priapulus caudatus
Lineage: Eukaryota; Metazoa; Priapulida; Priapulimorpha; Priapulimorphida; Priapulidae
Exons: 3
Source: RefSeq, a predicted model, not a curated record